Molecule: long non-coding RNA, 1365 nt
Filed under: Felis catus (domestic cat)
Lineage: Eukaryota; Metazoa; Chordata; Mammalia; Carnivora; Felidae
Description: lncRNA (ENSFCAG00000041032.2)
Source: RNAcentral
GAUUGUGAGUGAUCAUCUCCCAUGCUCAGAAGCUCGGUCUCAGGCUUUGGUGUUUGGCAGAAAUCAGUGAUUUUUCAGAACGUUGGAAGGUGCCCGCCAUGGGCACCAGUGUAUUUUUUUUUUUGUCACUUCAAAGCACCUAUGGACAGUCCUUUGCUUUUCCAUACAAGAGUAAGCUUAGGAAUGCUUUGCUUCAUUCUAGAUCAGGCUGCCUGCAGAUAUAGACCACCCUAUUGCCUCUGCUGCCUUAUUGCCAGUUAUAUUAAAUAAAGUAUAUAACAAGAGUUUGUUAAUACGGUACUGUAGUUAACAUCCGUGUGAGUGUGUACAGUGGCCUCCAUGCAGAAAAAGAUUCCAUUGAGCCAAUAAUUAGCAGUGAUUCUGUUAGUGAUAGAGCAAGUCGCCCUACACAAUAACCCUCCUCGCUUUGGUCUCCCUCACACCAACCAUGAAGGUUUUCAAAGGUGAAGAAACUAGGAAACCACAAAGAGCAGUGAUGUUUGCAGGGCUGAAGCACACUGAGGAUUCUUCCCAUCCAGGGACCAAAGUGUCUGAUACGAUGGAUGGACUGGUUUCCUGGAUUGCCAAAGGAUCCUUUGGAGAUGCGAGGACUCCCUGUGCCUUGGAUCUACCUCUCCCUGAACAUCAUACAGUCAUUGACUCUGAAAUCUUGCUCCCUUACCAUAGAGCUGCCACCAAAUAGUUUGGGAGCCUUCCCUGUAGUGGGAUGCCCUCAGCAGCACUUGCCUCAUCUUAUUACAGCAAAGAGCCACUUGGUCCCUGUUUCGCUCAAAAGAACUAUCUCCUUGAGAAGUAUCAAUCUCUUCAUUGAACAUAGGCUUUUACAACAGUAGGAAUGUGUAUUGACUAUGAAGUGUUUCCUCUUCCAUCUUGAAAAAAAAAGAGCAAGAUAAGAAUAAUUUAAAUGUUUAUUUUUAUUUUUGAGAGAGAAGGGAGAGGAAGAGUGCAAGUGGGGGAGAGGGGCAGAGAGAGAAUCUUAAGCAUGUUCCAUACUCAAUACAGAGCCUGACACUGGGUUGGAUCCUACGACCCUGGGAUCAUGACCUGAGCCGAAAUCAAGAGUCAGAUGCUUAACCAACUGAGCCACCCAGGCACCCCAAGAAUAAUUUGAAAAUAGGAACCUGCUUUCCCGGGCACCUGGGUGGCUCAGUUAAGCAUCUGACUCUUGAUUUCCUCUCAGGUCAUAAUUGGAUGGUCAUGAGAGCGAGGCCUGCUUUGGCUCUAUACUGGGCUUGGAAGCUACUUAAGAUUCUCUCUCUCUUCCUCAGCCAUUCCCUGCACGCACAUGUCUCUCUCUCUCAAGAAAAAAAUAAAUAAAUAAAACUUUAUUUAUUUUUAUAAAUA